AGCUUUGCGCAGUGGCAGUAUCGUAGCCAAUGAGGUUUAUCCGAGGCGCGAUUAUUGCUAAUUAAAUCAUGGAAAGUUACAUAUAGAUAAAGAUAUGGAUAUGGACAUAGAUAUAAAUAUAU
RNAcentral lists this small nuclear RNA (122 nucleotides) under Phocoena sinus (vaquita). RNAcentral's name for it is "U4 spliceosomal RNA (ENSPSNG00000008889.1)". The stretch from base 1 to 67 matches the Rfam family "U4 spliceosomal RNA". From Rfam's summary of the family: U4 small nuclear RNA (U4 snRNA) is a component of the major U2-dependent spliceosome. The structure of U4 snRNA from yeast and human has been reported. The record is from RNAcentral. Lineage: Eukaryota; Metazoa; Chordata; Mammalia; Artiodactyla; Phocoenidae.